CCCAACCCGUGACGUGCUUUCAAUACUGCCUUUCUUGAGUAUGGGAGAGGGAGACGGAAUUCCAGGUGUAGCGGUGGAAUGCGUAGAUAUCUGGAAGAACACCAGUUGCGAAGGCGGUCUCCUGGCCCAAUACUGACGCUGAGGCUCGAAAGCUGGGGGAGCGAACAGGAUUAGAUACCCUGGUAGUCCCAGCCGUAAACGAUGGACACUAGAUGCCGGAGGAGUCAAUCCCUUCGGUGUCGAAGCUAACGCAUUAAGUGUCCCGCCUGGGGAGUACGCUCGCAAGGGUGAAACUCAAAGGAAUUGACGGGGGCCCGCACAAGCGGUGGAGCAUGUGCUUUAAUUCGAUGCAACGCGAAGAACCUUACCUGGGCUUGACAUGGGAGUGAAAGUCCGCAGAGAUGUANACCUUUCCUUCGGGAACACU
This 427-nucleotide ribosomal RNA is filed under the name uncultured bacterium. RNAcentral describes it as "bacterial SSU rRNA". It matches the Rfam family "Bacterial small subunit ribosomal RNA", at positions 608 to 1030 of the family's 1533-position model. The record is from RNAcentral.